This 2376-nucleotide long non-coding RNA is filed under the name Olea europaea subsp. europaea. The record is from RNAcentral. Lineage: Eukaryota; Viridiplantae; Streptophyta; Magnoliopsida; Lamiales; Oleaceae.
UCUCACCACACACCAUCGAACCCCAAACCAUAAAAACAGAGGAAGAAACCAGAAAGAAAAAUAGGAAAUCAAAUACUCACACACCUGAACCAGCAGAAGGAAGAAAAAAUCAAGGCCCGAACAAAUCGUUGCUUCCGUAUCUGCCCUAUUCACUCAAAAGGUCGACAACAAGAAGUUGAUAACAUCGAUUAAGGUAUAUUUCAUAGCACUUUUAAAAAUUGAGAAUAUAUGAUCUUCGAUGUGAGUGUAUUUAGUUUCUAAUUCUAAAAAUUGUGACUGUAUUUAUCAUAUUGCUCUACUUGUUUAUCCUCUCCAAAAAGUAUGAAAAAAUCGGUGAGAUUUCUUGUUCUUGUUAACCAUUGUUGUGAAGUUUGUGUUGAAAGAAGAGUGAUGGGGACUGAUGAAUUAAUGACAUGUAUGUAUUUUCUUUGUAUUAACUAAAUUGUUGCUGCUUUAAUUCAUGCCACACGAUGACAAAUGUACUGUCCGUUUCAAUUGAGGCUGCUUGGUUUUUUUAUUCCCAUUGUGGGGAUGGAGUGGGAUGGGGAGGGGGUGGCGGGUGGGGGUAGGUUAUCAAAUAAGGCAGUAAAUUAUGUGGGGAAUAGAGAUGUUGAAGAGAGAUGCCAAAGCUUUGUUGAAACUAAUAGUUAACGUCAAAGACAUAGUGACAGAAAUAAAUAAUCCAAGAAUUAUUUUAUGUUGUGUGUACCGCACAUUCUGGAAUAGUAUGAGAUGAAUAAAACUAGCAAGUGCCAUAGCCUAAUCUACUUAAUACAGGAAAUAUGGAUAGAUAACUUAAAUAAAGCUAAUGAUAGGCCUAAUAUAUUCAUAACUAAUUAGCACCUACAAAGCUUUUCAUUUAGAGGAAUAAUGGUAGAUUUUUCAGGCGAAUUUAACUAUCACGUAGGUAAAAUUUAGAGUUUGAGAUGAAUCUUGUCAAGUCUUGUCAAGGGGUGGCAUACAAUAAGGAGAUAUUUGAUUCUCUACACUAGACAAGGCAAUUUGUUCGAGUUUUUAUUUCUUACCUCUCUUUCGAGUUUUUAUUUCUUAGCUCUCUUUAAAUGUGAAGUUGUCAAAAAACUGUAACAUAAUGAUGAUCAAUUAUAACUUUUGAGUAGGUCCAUCAUCUAAACACAGAUUACAAUGGAAAAUAUAACUGUGAAAACAUGCCCACGAAGGGGUAUUGUACACAUGAUACAUCAUGAACUGCCUUAGUCUAGAUAGUUUAUACGACGAUGUAGCCUUGCCUUUUAAACUCAUGGGAAUGUGUUUUCCUUGCUAAUCUUUUUUAAUACCCAACAGCUAAACUGACCUGAAAUGAGUGUGCUAUAAUUGAACAUAAGAACAUAAGUGUAUUUGACCCACUGGAUGGUAGCUUAUCAUGAAGUGACUUCUUAUGAGUCAUGCAUAAUUAACACAAAGGAUUGAAUGUGUCUUCCAGGGAGCCUUUUCUUAGUUCCUCUGAUUGGCUCUAUCGUGAAUGUACUGAAUAAAUAUCGAAACCCCUAUUCCCUAUUCCUGGUAUGUUAAUAUAUAGAUCUGAAAAAGUUCCUUUUUUCAGAUGAAAAUUUGAAUGAAGUUGACGAUCAAAACGAGGAUAGAGAUCCAAGCCCAAUCCAAGCUCCUAAGCGUAACGUUGACGGAGGAACUAACAAAAUUCGACGACAACGACGUAGCCAACCUAGUGAUGAGAGUCUCAUAGCCCUGUCUAGCAUUGCUGAAUCGUCAAAAAAAAUUGCUAAUGCUAUGGAGAUUCAAGCAAUGUUAGAUACGCUAAAUCACAUCAAUUGACAAUUGGUUCUACAAAAAUUAUAAAGCAUGAACAUUGAGAAGCGUGACAUAAUGCAAGUCAUGAAAGUAUUUCGAUCGGACGUGAGUCUGGCUAAAGUAUUCAUGAGCUUGACUGAUGAAGAAUUCAUGUGUGAUUUGAUCUUUGAGAAUAUUGGCCGUGAUCCGCCUCCACUACUUUAAGAUGACAUGAUUGGAUAAUUCAACAAACAUAUGUAAAAGUAUGAUAUCCAUGUUAGUUUGGAUUGCUACUCACUUUUAAUAGAGAUUUUUUUGUUUUUCAAUUUUACUUUUUGUUCUUCUGUUCUAUGUUGGACAUAAGGUUCUCAUUGUUUAUUUGAUUAUCUCAUAACUAUUUUUUAUUGGAAUGCAAAGAAUUAAUUCUCAUACAUGAGUAUAAAUUUGAAUUGGUGAGUUUGUUUUCCUCAUUGUUAUAAAUUUUAUUUUUUUCGAUAACAUUAUCUUCAAAAUACGACUUCUUCAAAAAAAAAAAAAAAAAAACAUAAUAAGAGAUAUUACUCAAUAUAUUUAAUUGUGAAGGGACCUAAGUAAAACAUUGACUGACUAAUUGUCAUGGAAAAAAUUACA